This 246-nucleotide ribosomal RNA is filed under the name uncultured Sediminibacillus sp. RNAcentral describes it as "partial 16S ribosomal RNA". It matches the Rfam family "Bacterial small subunit ribosomal RNA", at positions 796 to 1041 of the family's 1533-position model. Lineage: Bacteria; Bacillati; Bacillota; Bacilli; Caryophanales; Bacillaceae. The record is from RNAcentral.
CACGCCGUAAACGAUGAGUGCUAGGUGUUAGGGGCGUCACGCCCUUAGUGCCGAAGUAAACACAUUAAGCACUCCGCCUGGGGAGUACGGCCGCAAGGCUGAAACUCAAAGGAAUUGACGGGGGCCCGCACAAGCGGUGGAGCAUGUGGUUUAAUUCGAAGCAACGCGAAGAACCUUACCAGGGCUUGACAUCCUCUGACCCCUCUAGAGAUAGAGGUUUCCCUUCGGGGACAGAGAGACAGGUGG